This 478-nucleotide long non-coding RNA is filed under the name Capra hircus (goat). RNAcentral describes it as "lncRNA (ENSCHIG00010013875.1)". Lineage: Eukaryota; Metazoa; Chordata; Mammalia; Artiodactyla; Bovidae. The record is from RNAcentral.
CGACCCGUGCAAUUCCAACAGAAGAAACUUAGAGCUAAUUCCACCGCGGCGGGAGCCGGGGAGCAGGAAGGCGUGGGAGUGAGCCGCUCGUUCAUAGAGACGAACAAGGAACUGAACUGGAGUAUCUGCUCCAUCCGAAAUCUAGACUUAAAGCCCGGGGAUUCAGUCGUGACACACGACUGGACAGCAACAAUAGAAGAAUGAUUAAAGGGAACAGAACAGUUGUUGGGAGACAACUGCUGUGCUGCAGGCGAAUGUAUGCUCACUGCUCAGUGGGGUUUGACUGUUUACGUCGCCAGGGACUGUAGCCGUCCAGUCUCCUCUGUCCAUGAAAUUUCCCAGGCAAGGAUAUUGGAGUGAGUUGUCACUGCCUUCUCCAAAGGAUCUUCCCCACCCAGGGAUCGAACCCAGGGCUCCUACAUUGGGAGGUGGAUUCUUCACCCCUGAACCAAAAUGUCUCUUAAAUAGAAUGCACUGA